UCGACAUUCUUCGGCCCUCCCACCACCGUGUCUGUCGUCCGUUGCUGCACUUUUCAUGCCUCGCCGCCGCCCAAUGGAGAAGAGCUCCUCACCGUGCGAGAUCUCCUGGUGCUCCUCCCUGCCGUAAAGAUCCGCUGCUCCUCCCCAUCGGAGAUCUUCCAAGCACGGAGAUCUGCUGCUCCUUCCCGCCAGAGAUCUCUUGAUGCAUCUAGGAAGACGACGUCGGCUUCACGGUCGGUGUUAUGGGGGUGGUCCUCUGCGUGCUCGGUCCGCUGAGGUUCUGGGUGCGUAGAUGCGGUGGAGGUAGUGGAUGUGCUGCGUCAGUCGGCCAAACUCCGACGGCUGUCGAGUUGCUGCUGAUGAUGCGCAAGCUCUGCUUCUUCCACACGACAGGUUCCUAGCAGUAGUACUAGAUCAUGAGCGGCAAAGAUUGCAACUUGUAUUAAACUAAUCCCUUUCUACUGUCGUUGUUACUUGAUGGUUUAUCUUUUGCUUUGGUGAAUUUGCGAUGCCGGCCA
Sorghum bicolor (sorghum) is the source of this 518-nucleotide long non-coding RNA. RefSeq lists it as uncharacterized. The transcript is spliced from 2 exons. The record is from RefSeq and is a predicted model, not a curated record. NCBI's taxonomy places the organism in Eukaryota, Viridiplantae, Streptophyta, Magnoliopsida, Poales, Poaceae.